Molecule: ribosomal RNA, 585 nt
Filed under: uncultured bacterium
Lineage: Bacteria
Description: bacterial SSU rRNA
Rfam family: Bacterial small subunit ribosomal RNA
Source: RNAcentral
GCAUGCCUUACACAUGCAAGUCGAACGGUAACGGGCCUUCGGGUGCCGACGAGUGGCGAACGGGUGAGUAAUGCAUCGGAACGUACCUUUCAGUGGGGGAUAACGUAGCGAAAGUUACGCUAAUACCGCAUAUUCUGUACGCAGGAAAGCAGGGGAUCGCAAGACCUUGCGCUGAUUGAGCGGCCGAUGUCAGAUUAGCUAGUUGGUGAGGUAAAGGCUCACCAAGGCGACGAUCUGUAGCGGGUCUGAGAGGAUGAUCCGCCACACUGGAACUGAGACACGGUCCAGACUCCUACGGGAGGCAGCAGUGGGGAAUUUUGGACAAUGGGGGCAACCCUGAUCCAGCCAUGCCGCGUGAGUGAAGAAGGCCUUCGGGUUGUAAAGCUCUUUCGGCCGGGAAGAAAUCGCAUGGGCUAAUACCCUGUGCGGAUGACGGUACCGGCAUAAGAAGCACCGGCUAACUACGUGCCAGCAGCCGCGGUAAUACGUAGGGUGCGAGCGUUAAUCGGAAUUACUGGGCGUAAAGCGUGCGCAGGCGGUUUUGUAAGACAGGCGUGAAUCCCGGGCUCACCUGGGAACUGCGCU